Molecule: ribosomal RNA, 373 nt
Filed under: uncultured Glomeromycotina
Lineage: Eukaryota; Fungi; Glomeromycota
Description: partial 28S ribosomal RNA
Source: RNAcentral
GUCAACAUCCUUAACGAAUUUAAUCCGUUCUAACCUUUUGACCGUAAUACCCUAACAUCAUAAGCACGCUUUCGACAUCAAGGCAACGUAUCGGAGAUCAGACGAAUAGCCCAGAAAGGUAUCCGUUGCAAUCCUCGGUCUCAAACAUCACAUCUACCAAAGGUUAUAACACUUCGAUACGAGAUCGAAGCCACAUUCCUCCAGUCAUUUUAUGACAUUCAAAACCGAUGUUGACUAACCGUACGAGAAAGUACACCAAAAGAGCCCAAUCCUAGCAAAUCAGAAGGCUUUUAAACUCCUCGAAACCCACAAGAACAAACUCAAAAGGUUGAUUUCCCGUUGGUAUGACUGACUUCAAUCGUUUCCCUUUCAA